GUGACGGUAACAUGCUACCAAUCGACUAUAUAAGGGCUGCCGGGCUGGCAGCAACACACAGUUCUAAUAAGAGAGUUGUCGAGUGAGGACAAUUCUAAGAAGAGAGUUGUCGAGUAAAGUGUAAACAAUAAACGAUAUACAUCGAUAUAUCGAUGUAUUUUUUUCGAUGCAUCGACUUGUGAUUAUAAUGUACUUGGACUAUUUUUUAAAUAAUAUUUGGAGCAGCUUAUACAAGAAAUUAAUACUUGAUAAUAAAGCCCAUCAGACAAGACUAAUAUUUUACAAUUACAAUUAGAGAAACAUCAACUGGAGGAUUUUUACCACGAUAUAAAUUUGAUAGUGUACAUUCAGCAGGAACAAAUUCCAUUGGAGGAGUUAAUAACAAAAGUUAGUACUUGAAAAAAAGAAGAGGAUAGCAACGGCGUCGCCUUUAGUAUACCAUCCACGAUUACAGAAUUAAAAUGCGUGUUUUUCAAGAUUAAGAGUUAUAUAAUUAUUACUCAAAAUUUAAGUUGAAAAUUUGACAAUUUUUAUCUUGCAAUUUCUCGAUUUAUAGUUCAUUUUUCAUUUAUAUUGUGCACUUAUUAUUCUCAAACGCUUUGUUACAUUGUUUCUACAUAUUUAUUUUAUAUCAAUUAUUUUAAUAUUUGCUUCAAAUGAGCAUUUAAAUUUUCACACAAUUCUCAAACGAGAUCCAUGUUGACAAAAAUAAGUGUUGUUGUAUAUACAUACAUAUUUUGCAAAAGAAUCGAAUUGAAUAAAAAAAGAUGAUCACUUUUUAAAGUGCGGCCGAAAGCCACCAAUACUUAAAGAAUUGGUACGCGAAAGAAUUUAAGACACACCGAGAUAUAAUCUAUAUAUAUAAAAAUUAAUUGCUGUUCGUUAGUCUCAUUAAAACUCGAAAACUGAACGGAUUUUUCUUAUCUUAGUCUUAAAAUGUUCGUGGAGGUCUGGGGAAGGUUUGAAAGAUGAAAAAAAAUCGUAUAAUUGCCGGGAAAACCCUAAAAACAGCCCUUUUCUAUUUCCCAUGCAAAUGUUUUUUAAAUAAAAUUGAACUUAAUUGCCGUUUAAUAAAGUUCAAAUCACUCACUAUUGUCUAAGCAAUUUAGGUGUGUUGCUUACGUCAAAGAGUCAAUUUGCAAUUUAUUCCCGCUGCACAAAGUUCAAAUUCAAUCAUAUCUAUCAAAAUCGUCUUCGCAUGCUCUUUGGAGGAUCUAAUGUCGCGUUCCGAAACUAAAAAAAAGUAAAUCGCGAAUGCAUAGUCACAAAAUAUAAUAAAUCAUUAGUAGUACUGAUUUUUCCGACUGAGAAUCAAUUUGUUCGGUUUCGUGAAACCUAAUUUUAGCUAACUUCAGUUGUUACUACCGAGCUGCAUUCCACUAUGAUCCGGCAAUUAAUUAUUGUGCCGACAAAUCGAUAACAAUUGGGGAAAUGAACAUAAUUUGUAAAUAUUGUAAGGCGUUAAAAUACACCGGUGAAUCUACUGGAUUAUGUUGUGCUGGAGGCAAAGUAAAAUUGCCACAAUUGGUCCAACCACCAGAUCCAUUACGUUCUUUCUGGGAUUGGAAAUGAUUCUAAGCACUUCUUGGCCAACAUCCAGAAAUAUAACAACUGUUUCCAGAUGACAUCAUUUGGCGCUACACAUAUUAUACAGGACAAUUUCAUGCCCACUUUCAAGAUACAAGGACAAAUUUAUCACUUAUUGGGGGCACUGUUACCACUACCUGAUGCAGUUCAUAAUUUUUAACAAAUUUAUUUUAUGGGCAAUUCAGAUGUGGAAGUUGAUAAUCGUUGUGCUCACAAUCCAACAGUGAAGAGAACCAUUGUCCAAGAAUUACAAAUGUUUCUUCAUCAGAAUAACAAUUUAGUAAACAUGUUCAAAAUAGCAUUAGAUCGGAUGCCAUCUGAUAGCCAUAAUAUUAUCAUUCGAGCUGACAAAACACCUGCCGGUGAACACACAAGGAGGUUUAAUUCACCUACCAUUGAUGAAGUGGCUGUUUUAUUGUGGGAGAAAAUUUACAAUCUAGAGAUAUUGUGCUUCAUCGUCGGAAUAGUAAUUUAAAACGUGUAUCUGAAACACAAAGAAGCUAUGAUGGAUUACAAUAUCCUUUGAUCUUCUGGCAGGGGGAAGAUGGAUACCAUUUUAAUAUCAAAAUGGUAAAUCCAGUAACAGGUGCUGAAACCAACAAAAAAGUUAGUGCUAUGAAUUUCUAUUCAUACAGACUCAUGAUCCGUCAAGGUGAAAUAAAUCAUAUUUUGAUGUGUCAACGACUUUUUCAUCAGUUUGCAGUUGACAUGUAUGUCAAAAUUGAAACUGAACGAUUAACAUACAUCCGUUUGAACCAACGACAACUACGAUCGGAGGAAUACAUUCAUCUCCGUGAUGCUAUAAAUGCCGAUGGCAAUGUGAAUAAUGUAGGAAGAAUGACAAUUUUGCCAGCCACUUAUAUAGGAAGCCCACGCCACAUGCACGAAUAUGCUCAGGAUGCUAUGUCAUAUGUUAGGCAUUAUGGCCGCCCAGACUUAUUUGUUACAUUCACAUGUAAUCCAAAUUGGUCUGAGAUCAAGAGGGAAUUGUUACAAAGCCAAACACCAGUUGUUAGACAAGACAUAAUUGCCAGAGUUUUUAAACAAAAAUUAAAAUCUCUCAUGAAUUUAUUCACAAAGCAUUGUGUGUAUGGCCGAGUAUGUACUCUGUAGAAUGGCAAAAGCGUGGAUUGCCACAUGCGCACAUUUUACUCUGGUUAGUGGACAAAAUAAGGCCAAAUGAGAUAAUAUAAUAUAAUUUCAGCUGAAAUUCCAGAUGAAACAGCUGACCUAAAAUUGCAUGCAGUAGUUACCAAACACAUGAUACAUGGACCUUGCGGACUUUUCAACAACAAUUCACCCUGUAUGGUCGACGGCAAGUGUUCCAAGCGAUACCCAAGAGACAUGCUUGCUGAAACCAUAACGGGAAAUGAUGGAUACCCAUUGUAUCGUCGCCGAUCAGUUGCGGACAAUGGGCGAUCGGUAAUUGUGAAGAUAAGAGGACAAAAUCUUGAUGUAGACAAUCGUUGGGUUGUACCAUACUCGCCAAUAUUGUAUAAAGCUUUUGAGACGCACAUCAAUGUGGAAUAUUGUAACUCAGUAAAGUCGAUAAAGUAAAUAUAUAAAUAUGUUAACAAAGGUAGCGAUAUGUCUGUCUUCGCUGUAACCAAUGCAAAUGAUGAAAUAUCACAGUACCAGAUGGGGCGCUAUGUAAGUAGCAAUGAAGCAAUUUGGCGUAUAUUUUCAUUUGCGAUCCAUGAAAGAUACCCUACAGUAGUCCAUGUGGCGGUCCAUUUAGAAAAUGGUCAACGAGUUUAUUUUAAUCAAUCGAACGCGGCAGACAGAGCAGCACGUCCACCAUCGACAACAUUAACAAGUUUCUUCACAGUCUGUCAAACUGAUGAUUUUGCUCGCACUUUGCUGUAUGCUGACAUGCCACGCUAUUACAUAUGGAAUGCAUCAUCGAAAUCGUUUCAGCGUCGAAAACAAGGAACACCAGUUGAAGGACAUCCAAAUGUAUUUGCUUCAGACGCUCUGGGUCGCAUCUACACAGUACAUCCAAAUAACGAUGAAUGUUUUUGAAUGUUUGAAUGAAUGUUUUGCAUCGUGUGCGCGGUGAAACUUUGAAUCCUACACUACAAAUGACUGACGAAAUUUACAAUGAGACAUUGAUUAUGAUAGAAGAUAUGUGUUUAUUGAUAGCUAAUAAAGUAUUGUCGUGUUUGGAAAUGACAUUGAAGAAUUGGCCGAAACAGUUCGUACAAAUGUUCCACAAUUAAAUCAACAACAAAGAAUUGCGUACGACACUUUAAUAGAAGCUGUGAACAGUGGAUCUGGUGGAAUUUAUUUCCUUGAUGCUCCCGAAGGAACAGGAAAAACGUUCUUAAUUUCAUUGCUGUUGGCCCGAGUCGUACGCACAUCAAAAACAUCUUGAUCAUCGGUCAGCCUCAGGCCGUUUGGAGAUGUUUCGUCAUGGAGGCUGAAUUUUCCGACUGUUGUGCCAAAUACACCUUCUAUACCCACCCUAUCGUUAAAAUCGCCAAGAACGAGUUUUACAUCGUGGCGGUGCCUGCGUUCAUAGGUGCUCAUAGAAAGUAUCUUUGGCCACAUCGCACAGUGAGACAACGCCGGCAUUAAAUACAAGGAGUCAUUGUUGAGCUCUGAAAUUUUGUACAGGUUAUUUUUGGGACAAUUCCAGUUUAAAAAAAAAUUAAGAAAAUUCGCCCACUUUUACGCCUACCUGCCAUACAGUCGAAAUUUUUAAAAUGCCGUAUUGUCCGUAAUACUUUAGGUAUAACUUUCAAUUUUGGUAUACUUGAAUGUUAUAUAGUUACAAACAUUAUUUGAAAUAAAAAUUGAACUUUGGCCCACUUCUAACCCCAUCACCCAUACUACCUCAACAUAAAAAGUGCCAUAUUUUCUAAAAUAUAUUAAAUACAACCUUCAAAUUCUAUAUUACUGUAAUUUAUAUCAUUUAAAAUGUUUCAUGCAAAAAUUACAAUAACACGCCCACUAAUACGCCCACCUCCCAAUGAAAUGCAAUAAAAAAAACAAUAUUUUUUUCAUUCAAUCAAUAAUUUUUUAACAUCAUCAUGGUAUUCUAAUUUUUUCAAUUUGUUUCUCAUUCUAAAUGAAUUAAUAUAAGGAUCUGAUGGUAUUUGCAAAUAGUGCAUUACAUCUUUAUUCGUAGAAAUACGUGAAUUUUUACGAGAAUGGAAUAGCCUACAGUUUCUAUACUCCUUAUUCAUUGCUUCUUGCGCUUCUUCGGAUAACUUUUCUCUUACUUUUUUACUACACUAAAAUUUAUAAGAACACGAUCAUCCUCUGAUCAAAAAUUAUGCACCUAUCUAACCCAAAGUCAAUGACCUUCAACAAAAUUAUCUAUCAAAUUAAUAACGUAAAUAAAAUUUAUGUAAACAAGAAUAAAACAUAAAUGAUUAAUAUUAAAGCA
Long non-coding RNA from Zeugodacus cucurbitae (melon fly), 4978 nucleotides. RefSeq lists it as uncharacterized. The transcript has 4 exons. NCBI's taxonomy places the organism in Eukaryota, Metazoa, Arthropoda, Insecta, Diptera, Tephritidae. The record is from RefSeq and is a predicted model, not a curated record.